CCUACGGGGGGCUGCAGUAGGGAGUUUUCGUCAAUGGGGGAAACCCUGAACGAGCAACGCCGCGUGAACGAUGAAAGUCUUCGGAUUGUAAAGUUCUGUUACGGAGGAUAAAUGGCUAGCUUAGUGGAAAGAAGCUAGUUUGAUAGUACUCCGCCAGAAAGCAACGACUAACUACGUGCCAGCAGUCGCGGUAAUACGUAGGUUGCAAGCGUUAUCCGGAAUUAUUGGGCGUAAAGAGUGAGCAGGCGGUCUAUUAAGUUUAAAGUCAAAUCGAUAGGCUUAACCUAUUCCCGCUUUAAAAACUGAUAGACUAGAGUAUGUGAGAGGUUGGUAGAACUCCAUGUGUAGCGGUGAAAUGCAUAGAUAUAUGGAAGAAUACCAGUGGCGAAGGCGGCCAACCAGCACAAUACUGACGUUCAGUCACGAAAGCGUAGGUAGCAAAUAGGAUUAGAUACCCUAGUAGUC
RNAcentral lists this ribosomal RNA (465 nucleotides) under uncultured bacterium. RNAcentral's name for it is "bacterial SSU rRNA". It matches the Rfam family "Bacterial small subunit ribosomal RNA", at positions 338 to 795 of the family's 1533-position model. The record is from RNAcentral.